UGAGAUUGAAUUACUUAAAAUAAUAAAGAUCUUGAGACAAGGUAAUCCAAGUAAUGAAAUAAAUAUCUUAAGAUCUUAAGCUAUGCAGAUUCAUUGAAUUUCAUGUUUAUUCUUCAUUUCAGGUUAUCUGCUGUUUAUUCCUCUGUGAAGCUGGCAGGUCUGAAUAAUCAGCUUUUAAAGUUUUUGACACAGUAAAGGUGCACAGAGUGCAGGCUCCUUCUGCAGAAAAUCCCAGCAAGCUGGCAGUGGGUAAGUAUUAAAAAAUAAACUACUGUGGAAACUUCUCCCA
Molecule: long non-coding RNA, 289 nt
Filed under: Cyanistes caeruleus (blue tit)
Lineage: Eukaryota; Metazoa; Chordata; Aves; Passeriformes; Paridae
Description: lncRNA (ENSCCEG00000004387.1)
Source: RNAcentral